This 493-nucleotide ribosomal RNA is filed under the name uncultured bacterium. Its description in RNAcentral is "partial 16S ribosomal RNA". It matches the Rfam family "Bacterial small subunit ribosomal RNA", at positions 27 to 507 of the family's 1533-position model. The record is from RNAcentral.
GAGUGAACGCUGGCGGUAGGCCUAACACAUGCACGUCGAACGGCAGCACAGUAAGAGCUUGCUCUUACGGGUGGCGAGUGGCGGACGGGUGAGGAAUACAUCGGAAUCUACUUUUUCGUGGGGGAUAACGUAGGGAAACUUACGCUAAUACCGCAUACGACCUACGGGUGAAAGUAGGGGAUCUUCGGACCUUGCGCGAUUGAAUGAGCCGAUGUCGGAUUAGCUAGUUGGCGGGGUAAAGGCCCACCAAGGCGACGAUCCGUAGCUGGUCUGAGAGGAUGAUCAGCCACACUGGAACUGAGACACGGUCCAGACUCCUACGGGAGGCAGCAGUGGGGAAUAUUGGACAAUGGGCGCAAGCCUGAUCCAGCCAUACCGCGUGGGUGAAGAAGGCCUUCGGGUUGUAAAGCCCUUUUGUUGGGAAAGAAAAGCAGCAGGUUAAUACCCCGCUGUUCUGACGGUACCCAAAGAAUAAGCACCGGCUAACUUCGUG